This 498-nucleotide ribosomal RNA is filed under the name uncultured Glomeromycotina. RNAcentral's name for it is "partial small subunit ribosomal RNA". It matches the Rfam family "Eukaryotic small subunit ribosomal RNA", at positions 591 to 1092 of the family's 1831-position model. Lineage: Eukaryota; Fungi; Glomeromycota. The record is from RNAcentral.
CCAAUAGCGUAUAUUAAAGUUGUUGCAGUUAAAAAGCUCGUAGUUGAAUUUCGGGAUCAGUACGCUGGUCGUGCCUUUGGUAUGUACUGGUGUCACUGAUUCCUUCCUUCUGAAGAACCGUUAUGCCAUUUAUUUGGUGUGGCGGGGAAUCAGGACUGUUACUUUGAAAAAAUUAGAGUGUUUAAAGCAGGCUCGCGCUUGAAUACAUUAGCAUGGAAUAAUGGAAUAGGACGUUUUAUCGUAUUUUGUUGGUUUCUAGGAUCGACGUAAUGAUUAAUAGGGAUAGUUGGGGGCAUUAGUAUUCAAUUGUCAGAGGUGGAAUUCUUGGAUUUAUUGAAGACUAACUACUGCGAAAGCAUUUGCCAAGGAUGUUUUCAUUAAUCAAGAACGAAAGUUAGGGGAUCGAAGACGAUCAGAUACCGUCGUAGUCUUAACCAUAAACUAUGCCGACUAGGGAUCGGAUGAUGUUAUUUUUAAUGACUCAUUCGGCGCCUUACG